UUUCGUCUGGCCUGGUGAAAUCCAGGGCCAUCGCGUUUCCUCCGAGGCUCGGCCAGAGAAUGCGAAGGGAGAGAGGCAGGACAAAAGUUGAGGCGAAUCCAGAGGCAUGCCGAUGGGUCUUCAGUUCUCUGAUGCGGAGAUGAUGUCGGAGCUCUUGGUAUGGUAGGCAUGUGGCCUCAGGAUUUAAUGAGAAUUUAAUACCAAGAUAAAUCGGUUUUUAAUUCAAGGAGCUCUUUCUUGCAAGAUCCUUUGCUACAAUGGAGAUUAAGAAGGAGAUAAGCUGCAAGAAUGAGUCCAAUAUUUCCAAGCAAGGUUGUUCUUUCUCCCAUAUUACUUAAUCCAGAUUCUGGCUUUAAAGAUUCAUCUCAAGGAAUUACAUUAUUGAAGAUGUCGGAAAAAGAUUUCCUGGAUCUUGGAAGAGAAUUACUAAAACUGUGCAGGGGAGGAAUAAAAUUGCAGGGUGUUUUUCUUAGAGAACACCAUGUGUGAGAUUUAUCAAGAAUUCGAAGAUUUAUAUAAGAUACAGGUCCUUUGCGCCAUUUCAACAUGUGUGAAUCAGUUGUCACACUGACCCACAACACACAGCACCUGACCCACAGCAACACAGCUGAACUUUAAGUUGUCACAAUAUUAACUGUGAAUUAUUGCAUAAACUUGGCUACCUCUCUUUAUUCCAGAAUCAUUAUGCAAAGAAAAGGUGUGCAUGAAGAAUGGAUGGUAACAGAAAAAAAGAAAAUGUGAUAAACCCAUGGAACAUUUUACAAAAAUGGAUAUUCAGAAGAGGGAAUUGGUCAAUAAAUAUGACUGAACUACAAAGAAAUGAAAAGUGGUUAACACUGCAGGUAAAAUUAGAAGCUUUGAAAAUGGCCACUGCAAAGGAAAUAUAGAACGAUAUCAUGACCUACAUGAAACAACAGUACAAGCCACAUUUUAAGAGUCUGAUGAAUAUAAGAGCAAGAUAAAGUUGGUUCAACAUCUUUUAGUGUAAAAUUUCACCAAGAACAGAAAGCUGCUUAUGGUUGAAAUGGAGCAUUUACUUUUCCUUUGUAGUGUAAUCAAGAACAAAUACCAGUUUGGCAUUGAAGUUAGUUGCUACAUUGAAGGAAAUAGUAAUUACAAGGACAUCUAUUUACUGCCAGUAAAGGCUGGUUUCAUCUCAAAGUCAACACAAAUUAAUGGUAAACUACCUAGUGAAGCUACAAACUCAGAUAAGCAUGCUACUGUGAAAUGUGCACUCAGAUUCCAAGAAUUACAGGCAGUCCUUGCUUUGUACAAUAGUGAGAGGCUGUACUGUGGAAAAACUGCAGGAUUUGGAUGGGAUGUAAAUGGAGAUAAAGAUGACUGUGAGAGUGUUGACCCUGCUGCCAUUCAAGAAACAGUUCUAGGUGUGUAGGAGGCAGAACUUAGUGAAGUUUUAUGUGAGGAAAGCAGUCGUAAACAAUGUAUGCGUCUCAAAAGAAGUGAUGCUGUUGAACAACUUCACAUUGAAGGAACUCGCAGAGCUGUAUCAUGAUAUUGACUGUUAAAAAUAAAAUUUUGGAAGCUGAUUCAAAGUUGGAAAUUAGUAUGACAGUUUGCCAAGGCAUAGAUAAGAUGCCUUGGCCUCUUACUCCAUAUUAUAAGUUUUAUAAUGAGAAAACAAGCACAUUUCAACACUAUUUGAUACAUCUUUUUUUAUAAAGAAAUAAAACAUAA
This is a long non-coding RNA of Dama dama (fallow deer), 1695 nucleotides long. RefSeq lists it as uncharacterized. Lineage: Eukaryota; Metazoa; Chordata; Mammalia; Artiodactyla; Cervidae. The record is from RefSeq and is a predicted model, not a curated record. The transcript is spliced from 2 exons.